This 864-nucleotide long non-coding RNA is filed under the name Zostera marina. Its description in RNAcentral is "long non-coding RNA (ZMAR_LNC003005)". Lineage: Eukaryota; Viridiplantae; Streptophyta; Magnoliopsida; Alismatales; Zosteraceae. The record is from RNAcentral.
GCCAAUCCAUCCAGAUGAAAAGACAAUUAAUAAUUUAUGUUCUUCAUGGAUUUAAUUGAAGAUGAAGUCUUUUCUUACAGUAAAAAUCCAAUGCUACCCAUCAAAUCUCAACAUACUCACUUUGACAUGUUUUGCAGGAGUAUAAUUGGGAUCAUCUAGGAUGCUUUGGGCAUAACAGGGACUGUCCAGGUUUACCACUGAUAGGUAAUAAUUUUUGUGUCGUUUCACUUUUAUAUUUGAUUUUUUUGUUUCAUAUCCAGCCUCAAGUGUUAUGUAAGAAUCUGGAGGUUUUUUUUCAUUCCAUUAUUGACCAAAUCUGAAAGUUGCUUACAUAAUUGCAAGAAGUUGUUAUUUACUGAUGUUUUAAUUUUUCCUAUUUUCGACAUUUGCAGGUCUUGAGGUUGCACAAAGUCCUGAUGGGAUGCUAAAUCAAAUGUGAAAGAAGUAGCCAUCCUGUUUAAGCUAGAGAGUUCAAAAUAUUGAAAGCACCAAUGAUAUGGACCUUGAUCAUAGUUUAGACUAAAUAUUAAAAUAGAGUUAACCUGAUAAUCGAGGGUGCUUUAGAACUGGAAGUUUUCACUUCAGAUAUCCAAAGCAGCUAGCACCGGGAUCAAUCCCUGAUAUCGAGUCUUAGCACUAUUUGGAAAUUCGAUGUUAUUCGUUCCAGUAGAGAGCUCGAUCCGACGGUUCGAAGGAUGGCAUUCCGAUAACAUGGGAAUGAGGUGACGACAGUGUAGCAGUGAUUAUGGAUUGAAUGGUUAGGGUGUGAAAUUUUAUGAAGAUUGUAUUCAAUGAUUCUCUUGAAAAUAAAAAUCCUUACAGCAUUUAUAAUAAACGCUGUUUAUGGAAUUUAAUUAAAAAGCA